Molecule: ribosomal RNA, 810 nt
Filed under: Bacillus velezensis
Lineage: Bacteria; Bacillati; Bacillota; Bacilli; Caryophanales; Bacillaceae
Description: partial 23S ribosomal RNA
Rfam family: Bacterial large subunit ribosomal RNA
Source: RNAcentral
CGGUUAAGUUAGAAAGGGCGCACGGUGGAUGCCUUGGCACUAGGAGCCGAUGAAGGACGGGACGAACACCGAUAUGCUUCGGGGAGCUGUAAGCAAGCUUUGAUCCGGAGAUUUCCGAAUGGGGAAACCCACCACUCGUAAUGGAGUGGUAUCCAUAUCUGAAUACAUAGGAUAUGAGAAGGCAGACCCGGGGAACUGAAACAUCUAAGUACCCGGAGGAAGAGAAAGCAAAUGCGAUUCCCUGAGUAGCGGCGAGCGAAACGGGACCAGCCCAAACCAAGAGGCUUGCCUCUUGGGGUUGUAGGACACUCUGUACGGAGUUACAAAGGAACGAGGUAGAUGAAGAGGUCUGGAAAGGCCCGCCAUAGGAGGUAACAGCCCUGUAGUCAAAACUUCGUUCUCUCCUGAGUGGAUCCUGAGUACGGCGGAACACGUGAAAUUCCGUCGGAAUCCGGGAGGACCAUCUCCCAAGGCUAAAUACUCCCUAGUGACCGAUAGUGAACCAGUACCGUGAGGGAAAGGUGAAAAGCACCCCGGAAGGGGAGUGAAAGAGAUCCUGAAACCGUGUGCCUACAAGUAGUCAGAGCCCGUUAACGGGUGAUGGCGUGCCUUUUGUAGAAUGAACCGGCGAGUUACGAUCCCGUGCAAGGUUAAGCAGAAGAUGCGGAGCCGCAGCGAAAGCGAGUCUGAAUAGGGCGAAUUGAGUACGUGGUCGUAGACCCGAAACCAGGUGAUCUACCCAUGUCCAGGGUGAAGUUCAGGUAACACUGAAUGGAGGCCCGAACCCACGCACGUUGAAAAGUGCGGGGA